Molecule: transfer RNA, 65 nt
Filed under: Mileewa amplimacula
Lineage: Eukaryota; Metazoa; Arthropoda; Insecta; Hemiptera; Cicadellidae
Description: tRNA-Ser
Source: RNAcentral
AGUUGUUUAGCUUAUAAUAAAGCAUAUAUUUUGAAAAUAUAAGAUAGAAUUUAAUUUAAUAACUU